Molecule: long non-coding RNA, 683 nt
Organism: Salvia miltiorrhiza (redroot sage)
Lineage: Eukaryota; Viridiplantae; Streptophyta; Magnoliopsida; Lamiales; Lamiaceae
Exons: 2
Source: RefSeq, a predicted model, not a curated record
UUUUGAUCUCUCUUCUCCACGAUCGGUAGGGUUUCGAGACUAGCACCUUGUCGCCUCCCUAAUCCCUCUUCGCCAUCGGUAGCAGCGAUGAACGACAAUGCCCACCACCUCCUCGCCAACACACUGCAAUACAGUAGCCGGACCAUCGCUUCAAUCACCGGCAUCUGUUCGUCGACUCACACGACUGCCACUGACUUUACGUGACGGGAACGUCAAAGCACAUGGCCGUCGUCGCUGCUGGUCCGAGCGUGCGUCCCGGCGCCGCAGCGCCCCCAUGCUUGCUGCCCAUCUCGCCGAUCAAGGUGACGAUUUCAGUACACGAUUUUCCCUGUUCGGCGGCGAAGUUCAACAAAGAUGUUGGUUUGUUCGAGAUGUUGAUUAGAUUUAGGAUUGAAGCACAAUGAAGUCUACGGCGGCUGAACCACCAAAGCAUCGUGGCUGUUAGAUUGAUUUUUCAGCUAGACUCUUGUUCAUCGAAGAAUUGUGUUCUGUUCGUUUAGAAAUUAUGUUUGUUCAUUUAAAAAAAUUUGUUAUGUUCAUCUAGAAAUUGUAUUGUGUUCAUUAAAAAAAAUUAUUAUGUUCAAGCUACAUUGAAUGAGCUUCAAUCGAAACCAAUCUUCAUUUGUAAUUUUGGGGCAAUUCAUGUGUCCAAUAAAUUUGAACAUAUUCUGUUCAUUUAGAAA